CAGUGGGGAAUCUUAGACAAUGGGCGCAAGCCUGAUCUAGCCAUGCCGCGUGUGUGAUGAAGGUCUUAGGAUCGUAAAGCACUUUCGCCAGGGAUGAUAAUGACAGUACCUGGUAAAGAAACCCCGGCUAACUCCGUGCCAGCAGCCGCGGUAAUACGGAGGGGGUUAGCGUUGUUCGGAAUUACUGGGCGUAAAGCGUACGUAGGCGGAUCRGAAAGUAGGGGGUGAAAUCCCAGGGCUCAACCCUGGAACUGCCUCCUAAACUCYYGGUCUUGAGUUCGAGAGAGGUGAGUGGAAUUCCAAGUGUAGAGGUGAAAUUCGUAGAUAUUUGGAGGAACACCAGUGGCGAAGGCGGCUCACUGGCUCGAUACUGACGCUGAGGUACGAAAGUGUGGGGAGCAAACAGGAUUAGAUACCCUGGUAGUCCACACCGUAAACGAUGAAUGCCAGUCGUCGGGCAGUAUACUGUUCGGUGACACACCUAACGGAUUAAGCAUUCCGCCUGGGGAGUACGGUCGCAAGAUUAAACU
Molecule: ribosomal RNA, 530 nt
Filed under: uncultured Alphaproteobacteria bacterium
Lineage: Bacteria; Pseudomonadati; Pseudomonadota; Alphaproteobacteria
Description: bacterial SSU rRNA
Rfam family: Bacterial small subunit ribosomal RNA
Source: RNAcentral